GAUGAACGCUGGCGGCGUGCCUAAUACAUGCAAGUCGAGCGAACUGACGAGAAGCUUGCUUUUCUGAUGUUAGCGGCGGACGGGUGAGUAACACGUGGAUAACCUACCUAUAAGACUGGGAUAACUUCGGGAAACCGGAGCUAAUACCGGAUAAUAUUUUGAACCGCAUGGUUCAAAAGUGAAAGACGGUCUUGCUGUCACUUAUAGAUGGAUCCGCGCUGCAUUAGCUAGUUGGUAAGGUAACGGCUUACCAAGGCAACGAUGCAUAGCCGACCUGAGAGGGUGAUCGGCCACACUGGAACUGAGACACGGUCCAGACUCUACGGGAGGCAGCAGUAGGGAAUCUUCCGCAAUGGGCGAAAGCCUGACGGAGCAACGCCGCGUGAGUGAUGAAGGUCUUCGGAUCGUAAAACUCUGUUAUUAGGGAAGAACAUAUGUGUAAGUAACUGUGCACAUCUUGACGGUACCUAAUCAGAAAGCCACGGCUAACUACGUG
Molecule: ribosomal RNA, 496 nt
Filed under: uncultured bacterium
Lineage: Bacteria
Description: partial 16S ribosomal RNA
Rfam family: Bacterial small subunit ribosomal RNA
Source: RNAcentral